GCAUCUACAAGCUUUUCAGUAGAGCAUGAGACUCUUAAUCUCAGGGUCGUGGGUUCAUGCCCCACGUUGGGCA
RNAcentral lists this transfer RNA (73 nucleotides) under Cricetulus griseus (Chinese hamster). It matches the Rfam family "tRNA". Rfam says of the family: Transfer RNA (tRNA) molecules are approximately 80 nucleotides in length. The record is from Rfam by way of RNAcentral. Lineage: Eukaryota; Metazoa; Chordata; Mammalia; Rodentia; Cricetidae.